CAUCUACUACUAGUACUAGACUCUGCACCAACUGUUGCUGUUCAUUUGAAUGAGAAAGAACGAGCAGAGAAAGAAAGACGGCGGUAGCAACAGCAGCAGCAGCAUCUCAAGCAAGCAACAACAACAACAUCAACAAUCAGAAAUGGAAGCACGAAUCACUCGCGUCGUCACGACUGUACGGUAUACAUAUUCAGACAAUGUUGUCGUAGGAGACAACGGCGUUCGACUAACCUUUGUUCGAAUAAAGACAACCAAGCAGUCGUGGUACACAGAUGGGCACUCCACCCUCACAACGAGAAUAACAAGAAAGUACCAUGUUCAGAAUCCAGAACAUGUUGAUGAACUAGCCCCUCCACAACAUGUAACAGUAAGAGCUGUAGCUGAGUUGUACUAUUCAUUGUAAACGAGCAUAUUUCAAUGUGAUGUAGUACUAGUAAUAUUCAUUUUAUAAUGCAAACACGAUAGUAAACGAGCAUACUUCAAUGUGAUGUAGUACUGGCAGUAUUCAUUUUAUAAUGCAUAACGAUAGUAUACGAACAUACUUCAAUGUGGUGUAGUAUUCAUUGUAUAAAACAUUUGCGUAUAAUAAUUAAACUACCUCGUAAAUGAUUUAGAGCAAUACGUGCAUCUGUACAAAAGUAAUUAUCUCGUAGUAAUAGCUAUAUCCAUCAUUAUUAUCUCAUUGUAUAUGAGUAGUUUGUGAUAACAUCACACCAACAUCAAA
Long non-coding RNA from Sycon ciliatum, 724 nucleotides. RefSeq lists it as uncharacterized. The transcript has 2 exons. NCBI's taxonomy places the organism in Eukaryota, Metazoa, Porifera, Calcarea, Leucosolenida, Sycettidae. The record is from RefSeq and is a predicted model, not a curated record.